UACGUAGGGGGCAAGCGUUAUCCGGAAUUACUGGGUGUAAAGGGAGCGUAGACGGUAAUGUAAGUCUGGAGUGAAAGGCGGGGGCCCAACCCCCGGACUGCUCUGGAAACUAUGUUACUAGAGUGCAGGAGAGGUAAGCGGAAUUCCUGGUGUAGCGGUGAAAUGCGUAGAUAUUAGGAGGAACACCAGUGGCGAAGGCGGCCUGCUGGACAGAAACUGACGUUGAGGCUCGAAAGCGUGGGGAGCAAACAGG
RNAcentral lists this ribosomal RNA (253 nucleotides) under uncultured bacterium. RNAcentral's name for it is "partial 16S ribosomal RNA". It matches the Rfam family "Bacterial small subunit ribosomal RNA", at positions 524 to 776 of the family's 1533-position model. The record is from RNAcentral.